GACAGCCCCAAGAAUGGUUAACUUCCAGGCUGAUGUUCUUACUCAACUACUAAACCAAGAAGAGGAGAUGUAACCAUAGACUUGUUUUUGGAAGAAGAUUUGGUUAGCUGUUUGGUCACUUUAUGCAAUUUGGGUGAACUGUUCCUUUAACUGAGUGAAUGGGGCAUGAUAGAUAUUGAUUAUAUAAAAAUUGAAAAAGUUCAAAGUCAGAUAAAUUCAAGUUAGAUAUUUUAUUCAAAUGGUGAGUAAACAACGAGUUUCAGUAAUGAUAAAGUUUUAGCAGAUGUGAGAGUUAUACCAGGGGCAUGUGCUAGUGUAAUGAUGAGACAGAGAGGUUCGGAUCCAUGUGCAGAACUUUUAAUGAGAAUGGUCAGACAGGCAAUGAUCAGCAAUGGCGUCAGGUAUAUAGGGAUAACCAGAAUCAAAAACAGGAAUAAGCAGAUGUCGGGGGCAGGCAGCAGAGAAUCAGAGUCGGUAUAAACAAUCCAAAGGUCAGGUACAGAGAGAUCAAACACAAGGAAACCGCUCGGAAAUGACAGACACAGCAAAUCAAGACUUCGCAGAGAGUGAGAGUGAGUGUGCUGCUUAUAUGUGUGUGUAAAUGAGGUGCAGGUGUGGCAAGGAGAUUGACUGAGGAAUGAUGUUUGUGAAUGAUUGUGAUGCAGAGACUCAUGGGAAGUGGGUGUGGUGCAACAGAUAAGAGGUGCUACACUGUUAAAUGUCGCUGUAGAUUUAGCAGCACAUUACUGUAAAAACCUACAGUACAAUACUUCAUUUUUUUUAUAUUACAGUAAAAUACUGUAAUUUGCAUUGCAUUCUGAGUAAUAUUGUUUGAGCGGGAACAUUUUACAGAAUAUUUUAGUGUUGCUGUAACCUAACUGUAACUUGGCUGUAAUAUGCCAGGCAAUAAUAGAGAAUUGCUGUAAACAGCGCGUCACCUGACAGACGACAUCACAACACAACUGCUGCAGCUCACUUACAGAUGUCUGAACGUCUCUCUCUGUGGAAAUCUGGAAGUUUGCUCUACAGUGUGGGCCACUUAUUUUUGCAGCCUGAGAAUGAGUUUUCUGUCACGGCAACCCAGGCAGACAUUGAGGCACAGCAGGUGAUACCAGACACACCCAGGCUCAUUAUGCUUGAGCCUGAGCUGGUGCAGGCGUGCGCAGUGGGUCCCAACACAUCGCUCAGGCAGUCUGCAGUUCUGUUAGAUCCGGUGGAUAAGGAUGGAAAGAAAAUGAGAAUGUGAGCGAGAAUCCUUCUAAGGACACCCUAAGUUCAUGCCAGGCCUUCGCCCUUUACUUUCCAUUCAUCAAGAUCCUCUGACUUAGAAUAGGUCCUUCUCAUCACCUAACUUCAGCCAACCCACUGGAGCUCCAAAAUGCAUCAGGACUCUUUUUCAAACAGACGAGACGUGCAAAUAUCAAACUUAGUCUCAUGAAGUGAUACAUUAAGUAUCAUUUGCACCUUUAACAGAGGUGUGUUUGAUCUGAGAAAAUGAUGUUUCCUUCAGGCUGUAGAUCUGCUGAAUAUCAAAUUUUACCAUAGCUUCAUGUUUUGUUUUUCUCUUCACUUCACUGCUUAAGCUUUAACCCUUUUUCCUUUGCCCACUGUGUGUGUGUAUGCUAGACUAGUUUAUGUGUUUAUGUAGUUAAUAAAGUCUUACUUGUAUCACACUUGAGGUUGUUCAUUGUUUGCUCAUAACUGGAGUCCCUAAUCAUGCAGAUUUUUGCUACAAGCUCUGAGUAAUACAGUAAGAAAGUUAUUUUAACCAGGAAAUUAACAUUCUUAGAAUUGACAGACAGUUGACACUG
Long non-coding RNA from Carassius auratus (goldfish), 1811 nucleotides. Lineage: Eukaryota; Metazoa; Chordata; Actinopteri; Cypriniformes; Cyprinidae. The record is from Ensembl.